RNAcentral lists this long non-coding RNA (420 nucleotides) under Anser brachyrhynchus (Pink-footed goose). Its description in RNAcentral is "lncRNA (ENSABRG00000001403.1)". The record is from RNAcentral. Lineage: Eukaryota; Metazoa; Chordata; Aves; Anseriformes; Anatidae.
CUGCAUGAAGAUUAUUCUGUUCACUGUUAAGUGCUUCUGUGGCCAUUGCAACAUGCUGGAGAGGAGUCCUGGGCUCUUGGGAGACGGCUGCUACUACCAGCCUGAAAGAAAGUGUCUGGACAUAUGGUGGCAGAGUGUGAAACAGUAUAUUACAAGCCUCCAGAUAAAAGCACUUAAAGAAAGGUUCCUUCUGCACAGCGACUUGCUGCUCCUGGGGCUGUCGCAGUAUGCCACUUCUUGUUUUUGGAACAUCUUCUCCAGCUGUUCAUGGCAAGAGUCUUCCCCUGGUGCUGCUGCUGGUUCAGUCUUUGUUGGAAUGACUGAAAUGUGUAUGCUCUUGGAAAAACAUGUGUAGUGAUGGUCCAGGCAGUCCCUUGGUGGCAGCUUGAGGGAAAUAAAAAAAAAAAGAAAAGGAGGACA